CACGUAGGGGGCAAGCGUUGUCCGGAAUUACUGGGCGUAAAGCGCGCGCAGGCUGUUUGGUCAGCAGCGGGUGAAAUCACAGGGCUCAACUCUGUGGCUGCUCGCUGAACUGCCAGACUAGGGUUCGGGAGAGGGCAGUGGAAUUCCUGGUGUAGCGGUGGAAUGCGUAAAUAUCAGGAGGAACACCCGUGGCGAAAGCUGCUGCCUGGAACGAUACCGACGCUGAGGCGCGAAAGCUAGGGGAGCGAACGGGAUUAGAUA
This 261-nucleotide ribosomal RNA is filed under the name uncultured prokaryote. RNAcentral's name for it is "partial 16S ribosomal RNA". It matches the Rfam family "Bacterial small subunit ribosomal RNA", at positions 524 to 784 of the family's 1533-position model. The record is from RNAcentral.